UGUAUGGAUUUGUAUGGGAACUGUUGAGUCAUGGCCGAACCACUGAUUGAGAACCAGGGAAAAGGACCUGGUCAGCCCUGGGAGCACAGUUUAAGCAGAUCUACAAUGUGAUUACAUGCACGAGAGAUCUGAGGUCUGAUGCGGCAGUGUGUACGCCAAGGACAUGACCGGACCGUGUGACAAACGGGUAACAGUGGUCACUGGGAAGCUUAACAUCGUUAUGAAGCAAGAGAUGAGCCCAUAGGGAUACUGGCAGCUCAGAGGAUUUGCACCAAGAUGGUUUUUGAGGAAGCCAAUGGCAAGAAACUGGAAAGUAGGAAUGGUACAUCAAGACAAUUGGAAGUGAUCCUGCAGAGAUGAUGCCGGCUGUUCAGUGUGCAACAAAAACUGGGCUUCACUACAUCUCUGGAAGAUUAGUAAACACAUUACACUAAGAUUCUUCUCCUAUGGUUGGUGAACUGCACAAGCUAGAAAUCACUUCCUGUACCCACUGGAUGCAACACUCCCCGUGUUGAGAAGUCAGACAGAUGCUGUCUGGAUAAUGAGGAGCUGGUUAGGAUUUCAUCAUUUCAUGAUUUUCAGCAUUUUAUGAAGAUCUCCAUAUUGCUAGACUGCAUUCAACUUUUCCAUGAGUGCUGCAGAAUAAGAAAGAAGAGAAAAAAGAAGUCUGUCUUCAGCUUUUCAAACCACACUGAGAAGAAGCAGGAUGAAAACCACUGAAGAUAGCCAUGAAGCAUAUUUUGAAGAACAUAAACCUUCCCCUCGAACAGGAGUGAGAGAACCCUGUGCAUUACAGCACCAAGCCUGUUACUUCUGGUGAAUCUCAGGCCUGGGUCUUUCAUUUAUUCUUAUCUCAAAAAAAAUAACUGGGGCUACUUUUUAAGUCACAUUGUCAUUGUGCCAUUCAAAGGGUACCAGAAGAAAUAAGAAAAUAGUUGUAGUAGGGAUACAGUCAGAAAUUUGAAAAUCCAAAUUGAAACAGCUUCCUUAGAGAAAGGAAAUUGUCAGUUUUUUGUUGCUCCUUUGUAUGGAGCAAAGGCGUAUUGUUAGCCCAGCCACAGGGAGCCUAACAGCAUACAUAUUUCACCUGUUUGUUACUCUCCUUGUCUUUUGGAAAGUUGCUUUUUUACUAACUGGGAUGUUCUUUUCCUGAGCUUACAAAUCUUCUCAGGGUUAGUAUCAUCUCCUUUGAAAAUCCAGUGAUAUGCCAAAGAUUAUUAAGGGUACAUUUUAAUAGCAGUAAGCUGGUUCAAUUUUCAUCAUGGAGAGUAAAGAGCAGUGAGAACAUUUACAGACAUCUCUGCAUAAUUUCAUUAUUAGUUGUAUUCCUCAGAAGGUGAAAAAUCAAGAGCACUAGGAUUAAGGGGAUAAGGAACCUAAAUGUUUGAUUAUGACAAAAUCCAUUAUUUAAAAACAACUUGAAAAGCAAAAACUGCUGCUCAGGCUUAUCAUUUAUUAGUGCGCACUCAUCAAAACAGAAUUGCAAUAGACUCGAUGCCACUUUCUUGUUUGUUUUUAUUUUGUUU
Molecule: long non-coding RNA, 1526 nt
Organism: Lagopus leucura (white-tailed ptarmigan)
Lineage: Eukaryota; Metazoa; Chordata; Aves; Galliformes; Phasianidae
Exons: 6
Source: RefSeq, a predicted model, not a curated record